Molecule: ribosomal RNA, 498 nt
Filed under: uncultured bacterium
Lineage: Bacteria
Description: bacterial SSU rRNA
Rfam family: Bacterial small subunit ribosomal RNA
Source: RNAcentral
ACUCAAAGGAAUAGACGGGGGCCCGCACAAGCGGCGGAGCAUGUGGAUUAAUUCGAUGCAACGCGAAGAACCUUACCUGGGUUUGACAUACACCAGAAAGCUAUAGAGAUAUAGCCCCCCUUGUGGUUGGUGUACAGGUGGUGCAUGGCUGUCGUCAGCUCGUGUCGUGAGAUGUUGGGUUAAGUCCCGCAACGAGCGCAACCCUUAUCUUAUGUUGCCAGCACGUUAUGGUGGGGACUCGUGAGAGACUGCCGGGGUCAACUCGGAGGAAGGUGGGGACGACGUCAAGUCAUCAUGCCCCUUAUGUCCAGGGCUUCACACAUGCUACAAUGGCCGGUACAGAGGGCUGCGAUACCGUGAGGUGGAGCGAAUCCCUUAAAGCCGGUCUCAGUUCGGAUCGGGGUCUGCAACUCGACCCCGUGAAGUUGGAGUCGCUAGUAAUCGCAGAUCAGCAACGCUGCGGUGAAUACGUUCCCGGGCCUUGUACACACCGCCCGU